UACGUAGGUGGCAAGCGUUGUCCGGAUUUACUGGGCGUAAAGAGCGCGCAGGCGGUCGUUCAAGUCGCGUGUGAAAGCCCCCGGCUCAACUGGGGAGGGUCACGCGAUACUGAUCGACUCGAAGGCAGGAGAAGGUAGUGGAAUUCCCGGUGUAGUGGUGAAAUGCGUAGAUAUCGGGAGGAACACCAGUGGCGAAGGCGACUACCUGGCCUGUUCUUGACGCUGAGGCGCGAAAGCUAGGGGAGCAAACGGG
This 253-nucleotide ribosomal RNA is filed under the name uncultured bacterium. RNAcentral describes it as "partial 16S ribosomal RNA". It matches the Rfam family "Bacterial small subunit ribosomal RNA", at positions 524 to 776 of the family's 1533-position model. The record is from RNAcentral.